Raphanus sativus (radish) is the source of this 836-nucleotide long non-coding RNA. RefSeq lists it as uncharacterized. NCBI's taxonomy places the organism in Eukaryota, Viridiplantae, Streptophyta, Magnoliopsida, Brassicales, Brassicaceae. The transcript is spliced from 2 exons. The record is from RefSeq and is a predicted model, not a curated record.
ACGGAUCGGAGAAAUCUGGUGCUCAGCCUGCUCUUUCUGAGACCACCACCAAAGCUCCUUCCAACAAGUCUUAUUCUGAUCCGUUAAAAAGUAUCGGCGAUGUAACUUCUUCCUCGUCGGUGGUCCCCGUUUCUCAGCUGCUUGCUUAAGCCGUCACUGUUGGAUUCUUACUGCAAUGCAUCAUCAUGUGAUUUCAGCAUCUGCAUAUUAUGUGUGUUUAAUUUCAGUUCUGUAGCAUCAAUGGAUAUGGAAGUCCUUAGAUGUUUCUCUGUUCAAAAAUCUUUUCUUUUGGACUUGUAAUGUCAAAAUGCUUUUGGUUAUGGAACAUUCAAAGAGGAGAUUUGUCUUUGUGUUCAUCAUCUGUUAACUAAAGGCAGAAGCUUUUAAUCUUAUAAAGCUCAAUUACCUGGUUUGAAUGCUUGAUUCAUGUGUUAAGGUUCAAGACAGAAGAGAAGAGUUAGAAGGAGAAGAUGUUGUACAUCAUAGGUUUAGGUUUAGGAGACUUGAUAGCUUUUACGAGAAGAUUAAGAAGAACCGUGCUCUUGGACUGCACACUCUCUGUGGAGCUACAUUGACCAUUCUUUGGCCCUCCUUUACCUUUCAUACAACAUUUACUUGCUUCUUUCGCAGGUACUUUCCGUUUCUCGGGAGAAGCUUCUUCAGCAGUCUUAUUGUAUUUUUUCCAUACCUGAAGCCUCUCAGCCACAAUAGUACUGUUCGUCGAUGUAUCGAGUUGAGUACUGUUAAUGUCUCCACCAUGAUCAUAAACUGCCAUGUUCUUCUUGAAAACAACACAAUCUACAAAUAAAAACCAUUUUGUUGCAGGACCUCAACAA